RNAcentral lists this ribosomal RNA (328 nucleotides) under uncultured Clostridiaceae bacterium. RNAcentral's name for it is "partial 16S ribosomal RNA". The record is from RNAcentral. Lineage: Bacteria; Bacillati; Bacillota; Clostridia; Eubacteriales; Clostridiaceae.
GGAGUCUGGGCCGUGUCUCAGUCCCAAUGUGGCCGUCCGCCCUCUCAGGUCGGCUACUGAUCGUCACCUUGGUGGGCCGUUACCUCACCAACUAGUUAAUCAGACGCAGGCCCAUCCUUAGCCGAUAAAUCUUUGGCUGAAAAGACAUGUGACUCUUCAGCAUUAUGAGGUUUUAAUCAUCGUUUCCAAUGGCUAUCCCUCUGCUAAGGGCAGGUUGCCUACGCGUUACUCACCCGUCCGCCGCUUUCCUCUGAUUCUCUUUGACGAAUCUCAGAUCAUCAGAUUCUCGCUCGACUUGCAUGUAUUAGGCACGCCGCCAGCGUUCAUC